RNAcentral lists this ribosomal RNA (643 nucleotides) under uncultured bacterium. RNAcentral's name for it is "bacterial SSU rRNA". It matches the Rfam family "Bacterial small subunit ribosomal RNA", at positions 232 to 885 of the family's 1533-position model. The record is from RNAcentral.
CGCGGCCUAUCAGCUUGUUGGUGGGGUAAUGGCCUACCAAGGCUUCGACGGGUAGCCGGCCUGAGAGGGUGACCGGCCACACUGGGACUGAGACACGGCCCAGACUCCUACGGGAGGCAGCAGUGGGGAAUAUUGGACAAUGGGCGAAAGCCUGAUCCAGCAACGCCGCGUGAGGGAUGACGGCCUUCGGGUUGUAAACCUCUUUCAGCGCCGACGAAGCGAAAGUGACGGUAGGCGCAGAAGAGGCACCGGCCAACUACGUGCCAGCAGCCGCGGUAAUACGUAGGGUGCGAGCGUUGUCCGGAAUUAUUGGGCGUAAAGGGCUCGUAGGCGGUCUGUCGCGUCGGGAGUGAAAACUCAGGGCUUAACCCUGAGCCUGCUUCCGAUACGGGCAGACUAGAGGUAUGCAGGGGAGAACGGAAUUCCUGGUGUAGCGGUGAAAUGCGCAGAUAUCAGGAGGAACACCAGUGGCGAAGGCGGUUCCCUGGGCAUUACCUGACGCUGAGGAGCGAAAGUGUGGGGAGCGAACAGGAUUAGAUACCCUGGUAGUCCACACCGUAAACGUUGGGCGCUAGGUGUGGGACUCAUUCCACGAGUUCCGUGCCGCAGCUAACGCAUUAAGCGCCCCGCCUGGGGAGUACGG